GAUCCUGGCUCAGGAUAAACGCUGGCGGCGUGCUUAACACAUGCAAGUCGAACGAAGUUUUUCUUUCGGGAGGAACUUAGUGGCGGACGGGUGAGUAACGCGUGGGUAACCUGCCCUGUACAGGGGGACAACAGCUGGAAACGGCUGCUAAUACCGCAUAAGCCCUUAGCACUGCAUGGUGCAUAGGGAAAAGGAGCAAUCCGGUACAGGAUGGACCCGCGUCUGAUUAGCCAGUUGGCAGGGUAACGGCCUACCAAAGCGACGAUCAGUAGCCGAUCUGAGAGGAUGUACGGCCACAUUGGGACUGAGACACGGCCCAGACUCCUACGGGAGGCAGCAGUGGGGAAUAUUGCACAAUGGAGGAAACUCUGAUGCAGCGACGCCGCGCGAGUGAAGAAGUAUUUCGGUAUGUAAAGCUCUAUCAGCAGGGAAGAAAAUGACGGUACCUGACUAAGAAGCACCGGCUAAAUACGUGCCAGCAGCCGCGGUAAUACGUAUGGUGCAAGCGUUAUCCGGAUUUACUGGGUGUAAAGGGAGCGUAGGUGGCAAGGCAAGCCAGAAGUGAAAACCCGGGGCUCAACCGCGGGAUUGCUUUUGGAACUGUCAUGCUAGAGUGCAGGAGGGGUGAGCGGAAUUCCUAGUGUAGCGGUGAAAUGCGUAGAUAUUAGGAGGAACACCAGAGGCGAAGGCGGCUCACUGGACUGUAACUGACACUGAGGCUCGAAAGCGUGGGGAGCAAACAGGAUUAGAUACCCUGGUAGUCCACGCGGUAAACGAUGAAUACUAGAUGUCGGGUAGCAAAGCUAUUCGGUGUGGUCGCAAACGCAAUAAGUAUUCCACUCUGGGGAGCACGU
Molecule: ribosomal RNA, 854 nt
Filed under: uncultured bacterium
Lineage: Bacteria
Description: bacterial SSU rRNA
Rfam family: Bacterial small subunit ribosomal RNA
Source: RNAcentral